This 528-nucleotide ribosomal RNA is filed under the name uncultured Actinomycetes bacterium. Its description in RNAcentral is "bacterial SSU rRNA". It matches the Rfam family "Bacterial small subunit ribosomal RNA", at positions 8 to 522 of the family's 1533-position model. Lineage: Bacteria; Bacillati; Actinomycetota; Actinomycetes. The record is from RNAcentral.
AGAGUUUGAUCAUGGCUCAGGACGAACGCUGGCGGUGUGCUUAACACAUGCAAGUGGAGCGACGAACCAGGGCUUGCCCUGGGGCAGAGCCGCGAACGGGUGAGUAACACGUGGGUAACCUACCCCGAUGACUGGGACAACCCGAGGAAACUCGGGCUAAUACCGGAUGUGCUCGGAGUUCACGAGAACUUUGAGUAAAGGAAGCUUCGGCCUCCGCAUUGGGAGGGGCCCGCGGCCCAUUAGCUUGUUGGUGGGGUAACGGCCUACCAAGGCUGCGAUGGGUAGCUGGUCUGAGAGGACGAUCAGCCACACUGGGACUGAGACACGGCCCAGACUCCUACGGGAGGCAGCAGUGGGGAAUCUUGCGCAAUGCGCGAAAGCGUGACGCAGCAACACCGCGUGAGGGAAGACGGCCUUCGGGUUGUAAACCUCUUUCAGGAGGGACGAAGGUCGACCGGUGAAUAGCCGUGUCGACUGACGGUACCUCCAGAAGAAGCACCGGCUAACUACGUGCCAGCAGCCGCGGUA